CAUUCCCUCUGUUAUUUCCCUCAAAUAUUUUCCCCUUUUUAUUUCAGUUUCAGUCAAAAACAAAAAAUAAUCAAACUUCUAUCUCUCGCAGCCCCAUACCUAUCAUCGCCGCCGUAGAUACUCUUCAUCGUAGGUUUCACUACUCUCUCUCUUCCUCUUUCGCUCUUUCUAUCUCUCUCUACAUCUCUCUCUCUCUUUGUGUAUGCGUGUUUGUCACAAUUUGGAUGUGGAUUCUUCAACUGUUAAUUGAUUUUGUCUUCAAUUUCUGGGUUUAUGUUAAUUUGUUGAUAUUUUGAUUACUAUGAUUUAGGAUUUUGAGUUUAUGUGUUCAAUUUAUGUAUUCUUCAUUUUAGGGUUUGAUUCAUUGGUUCUUUUUGGGGUUUGAUUCAUGGGUUCUUUUUUGUUAAUCUUUUUAGUUAGGUUUUUGAGUUCAAUUGAAUUUAGUACCACCAUACAGAACACAUGAACCUCAACUCUCCCUCCCCCAUUACAUAUUAAACAUCACUUGUGAUAUGAGAUGUUGUCUUCAAUUUCUCUGAAAUUGUUGUUUUAUUUUAAGAGUCAAGACUAAGAUAUUUGCUAAUCUAAAAAUGCAGAAUGUAAAUUUUUUAUACUUGAACUGUUAAGUAAAAUUUAGGUCUCAGUUUGACUAGUUUUUUUGUGCUUUCUCUUUACUAUGUCAUAAUUAAAAUGCUUUUUGGUUGUUAUAUUUCUAUAUUAGGUUGUGCUGUUGAGAUUAGAUUAAGUGCCACAUGUAUGGGGAUAAAGAUAAACCAUGUUCAUAUUUUGUUAAAAGUUCUCUUAAAUGCAAAAUAAAAUAAAUUUAUCCCAAAAAUACGAGAAUUAUAUAGAUUCAAUUUGAUAGAAAAUAGAUAGUUUUAAGUUAAUGCUUUCGAAAACAUGUAUUCAAUCAUGUGUUUUGUUUUUAGUUUGGAAUGUUUCAGGUACAAGGAGACGACACCAAUAUAUGCUAAUAUCAUUGUUAGCCUGUUCAUGUGUCUCAACUUUUGUAUCUUCUCUUCUAUUUUUGAGCAGGUUAUCUGAAGAGCCUAAGGUUAAGUUAAUGUCUGAGCCUCAAAAGCUACCAAUAGACAAGUAAUUGGUAACUUAUUGCAAGAGUGAUUGUUUAUACUUCGGUUACCAUGUCAUUCAAAUUAGUUUUAAAAUUUUAAUUUCGGCUUUGGCUCAACAGUCAACAUGUAUAUGAUUUUGUUGUUGUGCUUGAUAUUCCAUUUGAUUUUAGUAGAGCAAAUGUAAUUGAGUCUUAGCAAUGAUGUGUUAUUAUGGUUGUGUUCAAUUGAAUUUUAAUGAAUCACAUUUAGCCUUUUCUUAUUAUGUUAAUAGUGUUUCCCUUCUGAUGACUUUCUAUAAAGUCUAAGUGUGUGGAGAUUGUCCAUUUCUUGUUUCAUACUUUCCUGAUCCUUUAGCAUCAACCUCAGGAGCAGAUGGCAGCUUGUCGAUAUCUAGAUCUAGUGUUGAUCAUGAAAUCAAUUUGAGGAUUUAUUUGUAGAUGGAUGCUGUUGUAAAUUCAACCAAUGAGGUUUAGCAUUUGAAUGAGGGAUUAUAUUUUUCAAAUGGAGGACAAGGAACUUGAUUUCUUGCCGCUGGGUUUGUGUUCAUCUUCUCGCCGCUAGGUUUGUGUUCAUCUUCCUCUCACCAUUGGGUUUGCAUUCAUAGCUCUCGUCAAUGGGUUUACAUUCAGUUUCCUUCACUAGUGAUUAUAUUCAGGCCAUGUCAGGUGCAUUGCUUGUUUGUUUACCAUUGAAUUUCAAAUCAACAUUAGUUUAUCAUCACCUACAAUGUUUAAGGUUUCAUUAUGUUGUUAUUUAUUAUUACAGAAGGCUUAAAUAGUUAAGGGUUAGAGAGAAGGGAACCAAAGUAUUUUGAAGGUUGAUUAAUAGAGGAAGACAAGAAGCAAGGAUCUAGGAGUUCAUUAUAAUUCUUGUGUUAUUUCAUAUAUCUAUGUUUUUUCUAUAAAUGUAUAAAAUUGAUCUUCUCUAGGGGAAAGUUACUUAUUUUGUUGUGAAGUUAAUGAAGAGUGUGUGUGUGUUGUGUUUACCUGUCAAACUGAAUGUGGCCUUAUAUCGCGCAGGUUUACCUUUGUAGAACCCAUUCAUCCGAAGAUUGUAGGAAACCUGUAAGAUGCUCAAGCUUUUGCUCGUAAUCAAGCCAAAAAGGGAACUGUUCGAUUCAACAUGGUGUUGCUACCUCUAAUCCGCUGCUGCGAUUAAUUCUGUGCUAAAGAGAUGGAUGCUAAUGAAAAUAAUGUGAUGGGCGGUGAAGUUUAGCUUUAGUUACUUUCCUUCCGUUAUGUAGUUUUUUCAAAACAAUUAUAUGUAUUUGAUAUUACUAUCUAAGUGCUAUAGUGUUGCAGUUGAUACUUUGUAAGAAUGACAUAAAUUUUUAUGUUAAUGUUGUAAAUUUGGUGUCAA
Trifolium pratense (red clover) is the source of this 2432-nucleotide long non-coding RNA. RefSeq lists it as uncharacterized. The transcript is spliced from 3 exons. NCBI's taxonomy places the organism in Eukaryota, Viridiplantae, Streptophyta, Magnoliopsida, Fabales, Fabaceae. The record is from RefSeq and is a predicted model, not a curated record.